This 505-nucleotide ribosomal RNA is filed under the name uncultured bacterium. RNAcentral's name for it is "partial 16S ribosomal RNA". It matches the Rfam family "Bacterial small subunit ribosomal RNA", at positions 28 to 507 of the family's 1533-position model. The record is from RNAcentral.
GACGAACGCUGGCGGCGUGCCUAAUACAUGCAAGUAGAACGCACAGUUUAUACCGUAGCUUGCUACACCAUAGACUGUGAGUUGCGAACGGGUGAGUAACGCGUAGGUAACCUGCCUGGUAGCGGGGGAUAACUAUUGGAAACGAUAGCUAAUACCGCAUAAUAUUGAUUAUUGCAUGAUAAUUGAUUGAAAGAUGCUAUUGCAUCACUACCAGAUGGACCUGCGUUGUAUUAGCUAGUAGGUGAGGUAACGGCUCACCUAGGCGACGAUACAUAGCCGACCUGAGAGGGUGAUCGGCCACACUGGGACUGAGACACGGCCCAGACUCCUACGGGAGGCAGCAGUAGGGAAUCUUCGGCAAUGGGCGAAAGUCUGACCGAGCAACGCCGCGUGAGUGAAGAAGGUUUUCGGAUCGUAAAGCUCUGUUGUAAGAGAAGAACGGGUGUGAGAGUGGAAAGUUCACACUGUGACGGUAUCUUACCAGAAAGGGACGGCUAACUACGUG